CUUAAAACCCAAAGGACUUGGCGGUGCCCCACCCACCUAGAGGAGCCUGUUCUAUAAUCGAUAACCCCCGCUUAACCUCACCACUUCUUGCCAAUACCGCCUAUAUACCACCGUCGCCAGCCCACCCCGUGAGGGAAUAAGUAGGCACAAUGAUCACCACCAAAACGUCAGGUCAAGGUGUAGCGUAUGAAGUGGAAAGAAAUGGGCUACAUUCUCUAAUCUAGAGCACACGAAAAAUCAUAAGAAAUUAGAUUGGAAGGAGGAUUUAGUAGUAAAAAGAAACAAUAGUGUUCUUUUUAAGUUGGCCCUGGGGC
Molecule: ribosomal RNA, 314 nt
Filed under: Bombina maxima (large-webbed bell toad)
Lineage: Eukaryota; Metazoa; Chordata; Amphibia; Anura; Bombinatoridae
Description: partial 12S ribosomal RNA
Rfam family: Bacterial small subunit ribosomal RNA
Source: RNAcentral